Molecule: long non-coding RNA, 456 nt
Organism: Mustela erminea (ermine)
Lineage: Eukaryota; Metazoa; Chordata; Mammalia; Carnivora; Mustelidae
Exons: 2
Source: RefSeq, a predicted model, not a curated record
UGAAACUGUCACUGACUCAAGCUCAUGUUUCUGUUGGUGUCCAAAGACAGAGACUCUCUGGAGGAGCCCCUCUGAGUUUGCCUGGUUGUCCUGGGCUACCUUGCUUCACGCAACCUCAUUCCAAGGAUUCCAGGGCCCAGAGUCAGGUGGUGGAACAGCGAAGGAAUGGGUCUUACCUGGAGAAAGACCAACGUUUCCCAUCAGCUCUUAAACACGAUCCUUCUCCUUUCUUUCCUGACCUGGUCUCUGAAUUUUACUUGCUCCCACAUGGGGCGCAUUCCUCCCAAUUCCUUCCAAACGUAUUAGGUUCUGCAUUUCUCUGGCUUUUGCAAGUCACAUAGGAUUCAUUCAAUUAAUGACUAUGAUGUCAAAUACAAUUGGCCGUCUGGAGGUUUAUGUCUGUAAAGAUUUAUUCUGCUUGAAGUGCAAUAAAUAACACCGUCCGGAUAGAAAACA